UACGUUGGUCCCGAGCGUUGUCCGGAUUUAUUGGGCGUAAAGCGAGCGCAGGUGGUUUAUUAAGUCUGGUGUAAAAGGCAGUGGCUCAACCAUUGUAUGCAUUGGAAACUGGUAGACUUGAGUGCAGGAGAGGAGAGUGGAAUUCCAUGUGUAGCGGUGAAAUGCGUAGAUAUAUGGAGGAACCCCGGUGGCGAAAGCGGCUCUCUGACCUGUAACUGACACUGAGGCUCGAAAGCGUGGGGAGCAAACAGG
This 252-nucleotide ribosomal RNA is filed under the name uncultured bacterium. RNAcentral's name for it is "partial 16S ribosomal RNA". It matches the Rfam family "Bacterial small subunit ribosomal RNA", at positions 524 to 776 of the family's 1533-position model. The record is from RNAcentral.